AUGAAGGCCUUAGGGUCGUAAAGCACUUUCGCCUGCGAAGAUAAUGACUGUAGCAGGUAAAGAAACCCCGGCUAACUCCGUGCCAGCUGCCUCGGGUAGACGGAGGGGGUUAGCGUUGUUCGGAAUUACUGGGCGUAAAGCGCGCGUAGGCGGGCUGGAAAGUUGGGGGUGAAAUCCCGGGGCUCAACCCCGGAACUGCCUCCAAAACUCCCAGUCUAGAGGUCGAGAGAGGUGAGUGGAAUUCCGAGUGUAGAGGUGAAAUUCGUAGAUAUUCGGAGGAACACCAGUGGCGAAGGCGGCUCACUGGCUCGAUACUGACGCUGAGGUGCGAAAGUGUGGGGAGCAAACAGGAUUAGAUACCCUGGUAGUCCACACCGUAAACAAUGAAUGCCAGUCGUCCGUGAGCUUGCUCUUCGGUGACGCAGCUAACGCUUUAAGCAUUCCGCCUGGGGAGUACGGUCGCAAGAUUAAAACUCAGAGGAAUUGACGGA
This 491-nucleotide ribosomal RNA is filed under the name Ruegeria atlantica. Its description in RNAcentral is "bacterial SSU rRNA". It matches the Rfam family "Bacterial small subunit ribosomal RNA", at positions 408 to 917 of the family's 1533-position model. The record is from RNAcentral. Lineage: Bacteria; Pseudomonadati; Pseudomonadota; Alphaproteobacteria; Rhodobacterales; Roseobacteraceae.